UUUCCGUAGGUGAACCUGCGGAAGGAUCAUUACCGAGUUAGGGGCCCUCGGGCUCCAAACUUCAAACCCUUUUCUUAGAACCUUUUGUUGCUUUGGCGGGGCGGUCCCCUCUCAUCGCCCCCCGCCGCCUUCGCGGGCUCCGCCCUCCGCCCGCGAUUUUUCAAAACCUUUUUGAUAACUCUUCAGUCUGACUCCAAAAAUAGUAAAACGCUAAAAUAAUAUCAACAACUGAUCUCUCGGUUCUGGCAUCGAUGGCGAACGCGGAAAACCCGAAGAGGC
Molecule: unclassified non-coding RNA, 279 nt
Filed under: plant metagenome
Description: partial contains small subunit ribosomal RNA, internal transcribed spacer 1, and 5.8S ribosomal RNA
Source: RNAcentral